AUGAACGCUGGCGGCGUGUCUAAGGCAUGCAAGUCGAGUGGGUUCAGACCCACGGCAAACGGGAGCGUAACACAUUGGUAACUUGCCCCUAACUGGAGGAUAACCCGCCGAAAGGCGGAGUAAUACUCCAUUAAUUGUCGCGUCGCAGGGCGCGCCAAUAAAGAUUUAUCGGUUAGGGAGAGGCCUAUGGUCUAUCAGCUAGUUGGCAGUGUAAAAGACUACCAAGGCUAUGACGGAUAUCGGGUGUGAGAGCACGACCCGACUCACUGGGACUGAGAAACUGCCCAGACACCUACGGGUGGCUGCAGUCAAGAAUAUUCCUCAAUGGGCGAAAGCCUGAAGGAGCGACGCCGCGUGACUGAAGAAGUCCUUCGGGAUGUAAAGGUCUUUUCUCCGGGACGAAACAAUGACGGUACCGGAGGAAUAAGAGGUUGCUAACUCUGU
This 444-nucleotide ribosomal RNA is filed under the name uncultured bacterium. RNAcentral describes it as "bacterial SSU rRNA". It matches the Rfam family "Bacterial small subunit ribosomal RNA", at positions 29 to 506 of the family's 1533-position model. The record is from RNAcentral.